RNAcentral lists this ribosomal RNA (143 nucleotides) under Shigella dysenteriae. RNAcentral's name for it is "partial 16S ribosomal RNA". It matches the Rfam family "Bacterial small subunit ribosomal RNA", at positions 107 to 253 of the family's 1533-position model. Lineage: Bacteria; Pseudomonadati; Pseudomonadota; Gammaproteobacteria; Enterobacterales; Enterobacteriaceae. The record is from RNAcentral.
UGAGUAAUGUCUGGGAAACUGCCUGAUGGAGGGGGAUAACUACUGGAAACGGUAGCUAAUACCGCAUAACGUCGCAAGACCAAAGAGGGGGACCUUCGGGCCUCUUGCCAUCGGAUGUGCCCAGAUGGGAUUAGCUAGUAGGU